GUGCUGAUAAUGAUUAUACGCAGAGUUUAUUAUGAUUAUGAGCGCGAGCAGCCGUUGACACAACGGUGGCGCUUUGAGAGUCACAUCACUAUCAUGCCAUAAAAACCUUCUCCGACCGGUCAAAUGUUUAUUAUGAUCAUAGACCCACGCAUAAAUGACACGCUUGGAUGUGUAGGUGGGAUAUCAUGCAUGUCCAGCAGUUAUUUUGGUGGGAAAAAAAAUAAAAAUGUGUGUAAUUUUUAGCGAAUUAGCGCCAAGAAUCAUGUUUGAUAUGGUUGUAUUACUCGAGUUAUUUCGCAGAGGAGCUGCCGUGUCUCUCUCAAUUUGACAAAAUAAAUCCAGCCCGUUCAAACUCAUUAUUUUCAUUUCCUGUCAACUAUAGCUUCACAUCAUGUAAAUACAGUUCAUCUAGUGGCCCGUUUUUUUAAGAGAGUUGUGGAAGUCUUUUCCAGCCAGCAGAUUGUGAAUAAUUUUUCAAAGUGAAUUCCUGCAACUCUCCAGAGAUCGGUCGUCUCGUCUGUCUUAUUUUUAGCACGCAUUUUAUUGUGAAAGUUCUUUUUAAGGAACUUGUACGUUUAAAAAAAAAAAAAAGAAAAUAUCAGUGAGGACAGGCUGAAAGACAGCCAGUCACGCAAGCAGUCUGUCAAUCAGGUGAGAGCGAACCUUUAUUUCCAGUAGAAACACACACCACCUGUGCUCACUGUGCCAGUUAGGCCACUAGGGGACUCAUUCUCUCCAGUCAGUCAGAAAAAUGCAGCAGGGAAGGGAUACAAGUCAUGGAGAAGGGACUUCAGGUACUCCACAUGUGCUUUUACUGAAAAUAAACAAAAACUCAACCAGGAGGAGGAAUUUUUUUUUUCAAAACAGAAAUUUUGGGCUGCAGUUUUUAAAAAUAAAAAUAUUUUAAAAAAUACUAAAAAUGUUAUCUUCAAUAUCCAGAAGGAGAGUUCUCACGUAAAGCCUUGAAAAUCCUUCCUAACAUUGUAAUGUGUUGCGCUAAGAGUCAAUUAAAAUGCUCUGUUUGAAGUGGAAGCAGGCUAGUCAGGUGUUCCAAGGGCCAAUGUGUGCGUGUGUGCUCAAGCAUGCAAAUUGGUGUGCCUGUGUGUUUGCUCAAGCAAUUCCUAGUUUAUAGCCAGUAAGCACUCCAGGAGAGCACACCCCAGCAUCUACACUGUCUUACAUGCUUUACAGUUCCCGGCUCAAACAAUUAGCACUCGCCCAAUUUUGACACGGCGCAAUUAACGCUGUCACCACACAUUCGAUUUCCAAUUUUGCUGUUGCGACAGCAGCGCUCAAAAGAGGAGACAAAAUGGAUAUGCACUAAAGGUGGUGCUGGCUUAAAGUGCUGCCAUCCAAAGUCGCUGAAGGGAGGAAAGUGUCUCGCUCAUGGAAAAUCGGCACUGACGCGGCCAUUUUCUUCCAAACCCUCAUCCGUCACUCUGGCUUUUUUUUUUUUUUGGUGUAUAUCCUUCAAAAUAUUAUAAAGCUUUCGGUGAAAUAUCUCAGUGGUGAUUUGAAAACGAUAUUCCAGGAUAAAGGAAAUGAAAGAAGGGAUGAUUCCAGCUUUCCUGUGUCAUUCACCAGCCUCUGUGUGUGUGUGCAUGUGUGUGUGAAGGAUACAAACAGUUCAUGGCAUGCAAGCCAUUAAACUGAAAAAUGAUAUAAGUGGUUGGAAAGUGCCUAUGAGGGAGUUGGGCCAUUUUUGCGUGCCUGCCGAUGUACCUUUUUCUGCAGCUUUUGUGCCCGGAGGACAUUCUAAAAUCACAUCCCACAUUUUUUGACAGUGUCUAGGAGGGACAACAGAGUGUUUUUAAGAGUGAAUGUUGGAGGAAAGUCGGCGAUGUCUUUCAAAUGUCCUUUGUGUUUGUUUUAUUUCCCUGGUGUACACUGGGAAAGUGUUUUGACAAGCGCUACGACAUAUGGGGGUUAAAUGCUAAGCUCAUAUGUAUAAGCUCAUUGGCAGCAGUUUAUUUAACAAAGGACUACGGGAGCUUUUAACGUUUCCUUAUCCAAGUCCUUCUUUUUCGGCACGAACCCAAGUUUUUUCUUACAAGCAAGUGUGUUCUGCACCUCACAGGCUCAUUGUUUCAGCGAAAGGCAGGCAGUUUUAACUGGCUGGUUUGUUCUCAGAGCAGACAAAAAGAGAGAGAGUGAGAAAAAAAGUUUGUUUUCUAUCAGUGUGUAUGCAUGUGCCCUCUGCCUGUGUGUGAGCGCCACUUCAGGAAUUCCAAGGCCAGGGCCCCUAUUACAAGUGUGGAAUGAGAAAUCAACACUUACAUUACAAAAAUGGAUACGUAAACAUGGAGGCCACAAUUAUCAGGCGCCGUCGAGUUGGAACUGGAGGAGAUGGAGUGCCAAUAGGUCUGUUAGCAAUCACCCCCCCCUCCUCCCCCCCCUUACUGCCUGCCCUCUGUAAUCCAGUGGGUGUACUCUAGCUUAUUUGGUGCCAGGAGCGACCUUUUACAAGUACUCACCGACUGGUGAGCCGGCAGGGUGGGAGUUUGGUGGAUGCAGUGGGAAGUCUGGCUGGUGGAGGUCAAAUUGUGGAGAAAUAGGCUGUAGUGUAUGAGUUGUAUGUUGAUAUAUGUGUAUUCAUGUAUGCUUCUCGCAGUGGAAGUUCCUCAACCGGAGCGUGCGCCUGUGCGUCAGGGGCCUCCAGCCGACUACAAACCCUGCUUCACGCGGGCCGCCUUGAUGCAUUGUGACAAAUGAGAAAGCAGUUUGAUUUCGCACAACACUGAGCCGCACUCCAGCAUAAUGAAGUGAUCAUGACUUUACCCUUGGUUCACUUUGGCCCCGGUCCCGCUGUGUUUUUCCCCCCUCUAUUCAAUCGCUUCACUCACUUAUUUACUUGGCAAGCAUUUCCUCCCGUAACCUCUAGUACUGCAUAACUAGCGUCAAGGGUGGGUUGCUUGAUAAAAACCACCGCUACGGGGCAUUGGUUUUACACAUAGGGGAACGCGAGCAGUUUUUAUUGAUAUUCAAGUUGCCACUGGGUUGGAAUAAUAAGGAGCCUAUUUUCACGCCCAGGCAAAAUCACCUCUACUGUCCAUCACCCUGUCAGGGCAGAAAGCUGAGGCGUAAAUAUUAUUUGGCAGUGGAGGGAGCUGAGGGCUGUAGCUGAACUUGUUUGUUCCUGCUCACUGUAAUCGUCUCACUUUAUACCCCUGAAUUCCUCUCCCUUUUUUUAUCCUCCCUCGUAAAUGCGUCUAAUCAAACCUAAUUAUCAUUUAAAGAAAGUCUCUUGCUCUACCAAACCACUUUUUUAGCACGUGUGUGUACUCUUAAACACAAAGACCAACGUGUCACUUUCAGCAUGUUUCAUCUAAGCGUAGGGUUCGACAUCGAACAAUUUGCCCUGAGGCUGUGCCUUAAGGCGGUACGUACAGGGGGGAGUACCGAUGUGUCAGAAACACGAAGCGUUUUUUUUUUUUUUUUCUUUUUCAGCUGCAGCUGUCCUUUGCUUGCAGAUUAGGUUUCAGGAGAUAUGAUGGAUGCCAAACGCCUGUAGCCAGUUGUGAAGACAUAGAGGGGAGGGGGGAACUAUGCUGGUGUGGAUCUGGAUCGGGGUCAGUGGCACUGGCAGGGGAUUGGAAUUCUGCCCUUGACCUCCAUUUUGGAUCAUCCCCCAUCAAGUAACUAACAGCCUGUCACUUUGAAAGAGUCGGGGAGAAUAUCUUCGCUUUUUCGAGAAUGAAAGAGGUAGCUUGGUGAUAUUUUUAAAGACUUCAUUCUGACUUUGUUGCAACCCAAAACAUUAUUUCUUUUCAUGCCCUUCCUUUGUCUCAUUUUCUCUUAUCUUAAUUUUUUUUUUUUUUGGAAAGACUGAGAGCAGACUCCACCGAGGUUCAUUUGAAUAACCGUCGGAAUGAGGAAAUAAAAGCUGGGGGAAGAAAUAGAUGUGGCGGUCGGCUCUUUGCAUUCAUGUCACACGGCUUUAUCAAAUUAUUCCACAAUAGCAGCCACACAAGUGAUGGAAUUUCAAUUAAAGUAUGACAGUUUUGAGAAUUUGUUUCUGCUCGAGAAAGAGAUCAUGGGGGUUGUGUUUCAUGGGUUUGGGGCGGCAGAAGAUGUAUUUUCUAGUCUGUAUUCUCUUUACGAAACUCCCCACUCAUUCACCCCCAUCUUCCUUUAAAAGGGAAUGACUUAGCUGAAACCACUUUUUGUUUAGAGGCACUCUGUGGUUAGAGCCUGGAGCCUGGCAAAAAAAAAAAAAAAAAAAAGAGGGGAGGGGGAUGUUAUGGUAAAGGUCUGUGCGACAGAGAAGUCAAAAAUGGAGCCUUUAGUUUGAUAGGCUCUUUCCAAGAACAAUUACGCUACCUGCUGUGCCAAAUAGAAGGUUACAAGAGAUAAGUGCAAGGGAGGGGUGCUCUUCUCAGACUGGUGGCUGGCUCAUAAACUGGAAAAGAGCAACGUAUAUAUGACUCUCAGGGACUGUAAACUGUUUCGGGGCUGAAUCUGUCAGACACGCAAGCUCACAAACACUCAGCACAUGCCAAACAUGAGCGAGGGUGGAAAAACUGUGAAAAAUGUUAGAAAUAGUCCUGGGACCAGACAAAACAUGCGGCAUUUACUGCUGAGGCAGCUCAGCAUAAAAUUACUUCCAUCAAGUAAGACUUACCUUUGUCUUAAAUUAAGCUUAAGAAGAGAAGUGACUGAGAUUUGUGUUUUUUUUUAGUCCAUUUGCAUUUCUGAGACCCCCACAGGAAUUGUCAUAGAGGAGAAAAUUCCAUUACAAAGUGCAGUGACAUUGCCACAUGGCAAUUUCACGAAUGAGGAAUGCAUUUAAUAGUGGAUGGAUUUUUCAUAAUUUGGAAGUGUUUCCCCAAUACGUGCUGUAAUUCUUCAAGUGACACAUGUUGUAAUGGGAUCUAGUGUGUCCAUUAAUCCAGGCACGUCUGGAAACCACAUGUCCAAAGGGAUAUGUUUCCUAUCAGAGUUUGAAUUACACUCAAAAUAGAGAAUUUGGAGUAAGUAAGAGAUUGGAGUUUUAUAAAUAUCUGGUCUUUAUUAUCCCCUUCCUUUUAGAGUCCAAAUAUGAAUUCCUGCAUCACUGCAAGGUUAGGAGUCAAUGUUUAAAUUCUCUGUAACCCCAGUAUUCUCCCACUACUCAAUCUGCAAUUAUAGCUAGCUGCUUUGAAGAAGCCAGGCGGAACUAAAAUGACUUUUCAUGUCCGGUAUAAUGACUGCCAUUUGGAAGCGGGCAUGGAGAGAGCGGGUGAGAGAGAUACAGCAACAGAGGAGAGACGGAGGGAGGGGCAGAAGGAGGGAGAAAAGGGGGGACAAUCAGUGGAUGAAAAUGGCUUAGGUCACCUUUGCUUCUGACCAGACAGCACAAACCAACUGCCUUCCUCGCAGAUGAAUCUACCACAUUUGAGUCCUUUUCUUCUCUCCCUUUGCUGUUCACUGAAACUUUCACCCUCUGUUCCCUCUUUCUCCAUCUUCCCUCUGCCACUGCUGUCCAUUCAUUUGCCAUCAACGAAAGCUUAGCAGCUUUAAGGCGGAUUACAAGAUGAAUUGCGCGGAGCGAGACGCCGUAUAUUCUCUUUAGGGUGGGCUGCUGCUGCCAAAGGCCAGAGCUGAGUGCCGUCACCUGGGCUAGCAGCUGGCUAUCUUUUACACUUCACUCACUAAUGAGGCCAGACAGUUGGGGCUGAAGUUAUAGCACAGGCUGGAAGCUGUGUUGGCAAUCUAUUAUUUAGACUCUCGUGGGGAGGCCGGUCUCAAGAAUUUCAUGCAUGCAUUUUGCAAAGCAAAUGGUAGCCCGGGGGGAAUACAGAGCUCUGUGUGGGAAAAAAAUGAGCAAGAAUUAGACAUUAAUGUGAGCUGCGGUACUCUCUUGUCCUGCCUAUAUCAAACCUGCCAAGACCUGAAAGGAAACUUUUGAUAUUCUGUCACUUUUUUCAUCGCACUUGAAAAGGCUGCUGUUAAUACAGAUGUGCCUCAGCGACGUUAACAUCGCUGACAGCUCCGUCGGAUGCACAAGUCGCCGGUCUUUUUCAUUCACUUUUUCUGCCCUCUCUUUUCUUUUAGUUUGUCUCUCAUUGUGAUAUUUUAUGGAUGCCAGAUGAAGGUUGUGCUUGAGUCAUCAGACAGUCGACACAGAAGAACGAGUUUAUCUUUCCCUUCCCUUUUCAUGUAUAUUUUAAGACCUAUUUCAGAGGGGUUUCGAAGAGUUGCAUCACUCUGUUAUAGAUAACAGUGUGCAGACAGGACUUGUUUAUAUUUAGUCAGGCUAGAAAACUAUGGCGUGCAUGACCCCCACUAGGUAUUUAUAGAAAAAUACCAGAGUUAAAAUUUCCUCAGAUACCAGGGGCUGAUAUGGCAGUUAUUUAAAACAUGAAUUUCUCAGAUAUGGACUAAUGCAGGUCACUAACUCAGCAAACAAGUCUAGUUUAAAGGCGUCAGUUUCCACUAACUGUUACAGCCACAUGAACCCAUUUGGCAAUUAACUAUAUUUGGGCCUCUGUAAAUGCAAAUCCGCUGGGAGAUGAGAUGGCAACAGUUAAACAUAGAAAGGCAGUUAUAGCUGGAGCAGGGGAGUAGACUUGGGUUACUCUUAAAUGAAGUUCAUGUAGAAAGGCUCAGGAUACCACAAAUAGCUCGGAGUUAUACAUGUCAUAAAUAAACUGCGCAUACCAGAGGCCAUGAAGUCAUCAAGUUAUUUACCCCACACGUAACCGCAUCAUAUGAGAGCCGCAUCGUGUUAACUGAAUGUUGAUAUUCGCCGAAGAGUGACGCGAGGCAAGAAAGAAGCCCAUCGAGUCGUGAGGGAUGGAGGAAUUCGCGGCCGUGUGCUGUCACGCACCUCUGCAACUCAUGACCUCUAAAAUAUAGAGAUUUUCCAUGAAUUUCUCGUGGCAUUAAAGAGAAGUUCAUGUCAGGUGUAUACUGGUGUAACCCAAGCUGCCACCGUUAAUUCUCCACCUAACCCUUUCUUAUCCUUGCAUGUGUUUGCCCGUCCAUCUACCCUAAAGAAACAUUCCUGGAGAGUUUUAGCGUCACUGUAACUGGACACCGCUAGCCAUGCCUCGUUGAGAGUUUGACAGUGAGAAAGGGAGAGUUUGAACGUGGGAACUGGAAUGCUUGGGCUCAGCCUACUCCUCUUUGAAACUGGCAAAAGUUGAACACUACAUGCUACUUGGGUUUCAUGAUGUAAGGCAACAAAUCAGCCAUUGAGGAGGUGUUUGGAGAGGGCUUUUAUGAGAUUUGGUGGAAGAUAUCAAAUCUUGGAAAUGAGUUACCGUGAACAGUACAGGGAAGGGUUAUGUAUUUAAUGAGCAGGACUAGCACUUGAAAGAUACAGAUAGUUCUGGGCCGUUAAGAUUUGACACAAAACCAACUUGGGUAAAGAUAAAAAGGCCAAAAAGACAUUAUUCUACAGACUCAAAAAGGCAUCCAGUUUAAAAGUUUGAAGCUUCCCAUUCAGACUACGAUUGAAAAUGAGAUUCAGCCUUCCUGUAAAUUAGCUCCCUAACUUUAGUAAUCAUUUACAUUUAAUAGCUUGCCUCAGGUUUAGACUAGAAAAGUGUCAAUUUCAGCAAUUAAAAAUAUUAGAAAAGCUAAUGUGUAUUUAAGAAUGGAUGUAGAUGAGUUGAGAAUUUGCUGUUGAUUCUCAUCCCCUCAAGCUCUGAAUAUUGGGAUGGAUUUUUUCCUCUCCCCACAGCUGAUAUUUCGACUGUCUUUACGGUUCCUUGGUAGCCAUGAAAACCCAUUACAAUGCAAUCCCUUCCUCCCCCCUCCCUCCGCUUUCUCUCCUGUCUUCGCACCCUCUGCCGUUAUUUGGACCCCUUCCCAAACCAUCCAUUGUGAUAAGCUAAACACAAAGCUGUGAGGAGAACGUCUUGCGCUAGCUGCUAGCCAUAUUGUUGUCUUGCUUCUCUGCUUGGACUGCCAGCCCGCAUAACACUGCACCAGGGAAUUAACCUCUGCCGCUGUUCCCUUCAUAUUGAAUAAAUUUUGCGACGGCCACUCCAGCAGAGCCGCGGGGGGAAAAGUACUGUAGAUGUUGCCAAAAUUACUGACAGCUUCUCUCGAGCCCAUACUGCAUAAACACACAGCAAUAGUGAUAAACAGCUCGGGCCUUUUUUUUCUGCUUGUUGCUGCUUCUUGUGCAACCUUUACCAAAAUAAAAGGGCAUGACAUUUUUUUUACAGACAAGUCAGUUGACAUGGGAGUGGGACGUUAAAUAAGGAAGACUGAAGUUCACUGAAUGGGACAUCACUACAUUGUCACAGUUUGUGACCUUUCCCAUUUGCUCAGACAAGCAAGGGCUGCUCUUUGUCAAAAUGGCUCACGCCGUUUGUAAGCGAUUCCUCCCUUCCUGUUCCUCUUUUUUUCUUUUUUUUUUCAUAUCUGCCAUCUGCGGUGACUGCGUGACGCCACAGCUUCUGUGUCAUCAGUGACAACGUUCUCACACACACACAGGGACGAGACAAGAGAGAUCUGGAUAGGAAGAAAGGGGAGGGGGGUACAGAAAAGAGUGAGAAAAGAGAGCUUACUUCAUCCUUUAAUUGUGCCUCUGAAUGUCCCGGUGGACUUCAUUACCCAGGCAUCCUAAGAAAUCUCACUUGUUUGCUCUUGGAAACAUGUAAAAAACGUUUGUAGUUCUUUUUAAGUCUGUGCAGCGGCAUGAGGAGCUUCAGUUGGGCAAGUCUCAAAAUUCUUCUGUAACAGAGAUCGAGGCACAUUUCAAACAGUUGAGCCAAGCAUUUCUUUGUAGUAAGGAACUCUUGAUGAUUAUAUGUUAAGCUAAUGCAUCUGAUGGAUGCCCUAAGCCGGUCCCUUGGGCCCAUAUAAUCUACAGGCAGCAGAUUUGACGGGAAUGCUAACUUAUAUUAAAAAAAAAAAAAAACAUACUCACAACCUGGCCUGUGGUUUACUUCAACUCAAAACUAAGCACACAAAUGAGUUCAUGUUCAUCAUUAUAGACUGACAUGUUUACUUGUGUUAAAUAAGCUAAUUGUAAUUAUGCAGAGAUUUCAAAAGGACCUGUAUUCAUAUUUUACCCCAAAUUGUUGUAUUCAAAUUUGUCAGAUAUUCUCAUUUCCUCGAUGGUCUCAUUCAUCAAUUCAUUAUCAGCCGUGUUUUUGAAAAUAACCCCUUUCUGUUGCAAUUUACAGAAAAUAUCAGUGACACAUUCAGCUUUUGUAGACCUUACCGGAGGAUUGAAGGUAAUUUUUGACUUCAUUAAAUCUGAGGACUAAAAAAUCUACAGCAUCUCUGCAUAAAAACACAGCAGGCGAGGUGAUUAUCUUUGGAAAUUAGCUCACUCAUUUAGAGCUGUGUGGAUGCAGAUGCCUUCGUUCAAUGGAAGCCUAUUAUUCCAAACGACUCUCAUUAAGCUGUAGUGAAAUAAGGCAAGCUGUGGAAGCAGUGAAAUAAAAUCUUUAGACUGGCUGUGCAGAACUCGGCAGCGGUGCGCUACGCUGUCUUCAUUAAGAGCCCUGACGUCAGGAGUGAAAACGCAGAAAAUGACACAUGUAAAAAGGAAAAUUGUAUGCAGCUGAUUUUCUACCUCUCAUGCCCUAUAGGAGGUUAUUUUGUGUUUGUACUCCGAGCGGAGGGAUCCGACAAUACAGUUUGAGCUUAAUGAGUGAGUUAAUCUGACGCUGAGGAGUGUGAGUCACAGCUGAUCUUUAAUUUCUUUAUUCUUAUGAAGAUCUGCUGAUCAGAAGCUCUUUUAAUAGGAAGCUACUUUCCUGAUUAGUCAAACUGUAUGUGUUCGCACUUAACCCGAAUCAUACUCUGCCACAUGGAGUAGGGGAAAUGUUAUCCAAGUUUUUGCCAUAUGCUAUCUAAAUCUGCUCAAGUAUCAAAUAGGGAAACAAAAGUUAAGGAGUUAAAGCUCUUUUGUGUUUAUUCUGGCAAAGUUUAACCUCAUUUUGUUCCUGAUUUGAUCCUUUUUUUGACAUUGCGAUGACUCCUAAAGGUGGAAAAGACAGGCUGUUGUAAAGAGACACCUACCCGUCAGCUUUUAGAGAUACUGCCACAAACUACAUAAAAAAUAUUCCAUCCUUACGCUGAUGGUUUUGUGUUCUUAUGAAUGUCAUAUGGAGGUUUUAAUCUUAAAAGUGUGUUAGCUUGUUUCUAAACCAGCUAAAAACUUCUCACUGGAGCCUUAAGUGCCAGUUUUGACAGCAGGAGCUAACCGCCUUUAAUACUUACUGAUAACAACAUUGUCACAAUCUGAUAUGAUUAACUUUGGGUACAUUUAUCAUUGUCAGACUUUUAAUGUGUUAUUAUUAUUAUCCAUGCAAAUGUUUUGUGAAAAAGCCAAAGUUUACGCCUGCGUUACAAAUCUACAGUCUGUUGACAUGUUGACCUAUUUACGUUGAAAUCCGAGGCAGAGUGCAUGUUCAUCUGCAAAGGGAAUCAGUGACGCUCACUUGCUAGGUCAAGGUUUGGCCAGCUUACAAAAAUUUGCAUAAGCUUUGCAACCGCAGUAGCUCAAAUAUUUGCAUGUGCUAAACCUAUAGAAACUGUUGGCAAUGCAAACAAGCCACUUACUCUCACGAACUCUGAAGCUGAAGAGGAUGUAUUGAUCUACUGUUCUGAGUAUUCCUGGACCAUAUAUAGAUUUCCAAAAUGACAGAAUGAACCAAAGCUACAUUACAGAGCACCAUGGGGCCAUGAAGCAUCUGGGCAUGUUUUUCCCAGCAUCCAUUUCGAGUGUUUAACACCAGGGGAGCUCAGUUAGAGGGCCAGGGUAGGAGGGGGGAGAUUAGAUGGAAUCUUGUCAAACUACUGAUAGGUCUCUCUGUUCCCUGUGGUGUCAACAACACAGCAGGUGGCCUUCAUUUGCAUGUCCCAUGUUCUCACCUCCCUCGUCUCCCUCUCCAGUUUAUUUAUUACAACGGCCGCAGGUGGAAAUCAGAUGACUGUCAAAUCACCGUGAUGUCGGACAAGGCUCCACCACGACAACGUUUGCUCACAGACGAAUACACAAUCGCAGCAGACAGUGGUUUUAUAGCGACAGUCGGUUUAUUACGCCUCUAUGAUAACCUCCAUCCAAAGAUUCAUGUACCACUUGGUCCUAAACAUCAGUAGGCUGUAUGAAGUGAUGGAACGUACACAUUAAAAUUCGAUCUCCUGCAUCAGUAAAUCCAGCUCCGGUCAGGACAGCUUCUAUAAAUCGCCGGCCAUUAUUUUCGAUUAACCGCGCUGACACUGCGGCCUAUGACAUUUCUUCCAAUUUUUAGCCUCCCUGUCACAGUGGCGCCAUAUUUUUCAGCACUGUUUCAUUUAGAUUGUCCCAAAGC
Molecule: non-coding RNA, 11261 nt
Organism: Xyrichtys novacula (pearly razorfish)
Lineage: Eukaryota; Metazoa; Chordata; Actinopteri; Labriformes; Labridae
Source: the annotation of a GenBank genome assembly